RNAcentral lists this ribosomal RNA (588 nucleotides) under Cordyceps militaris. RNAcentral's name for it is "SSU rRNA". It matches the Rfam family "Eukaryotic small subunit ribosomal RNA", at positions 561 to 1155 of the family's 1831-position model. The record is from RNAcentral. Lineage: Eukaryota; Fungi; Ascomycota; Sordariomycetes; Hypocreales; Cordycipitaceae.
CUGGUGCCAGCAGCCGCGGUAAUUCCAGCUCCAAUAGCGUAUAUUAAAGUUGUUGUGGUUAAAAAGCUCGUAGUUGAACCUUGGGCCUGGCUGGCCGGUCCGCCUCACCGCGUGCACUGGUCCGGCCGGGCCUUUCCCUCUGUGGAACCCCAUGCUCUUCACUGAGUGUGGCGGUGAAACAGGACUUUUACUUUGAAAAAAUUAGAGUGCUCCAGGCAGGCCUAUGCUCGAAUACAUUAGCAUGGAAUAAUAAAAUAGGACGCGUGGUUCUAUUUUGUUGGUUUCUAGGACCGCCGUAAUGAUUAAUAGGGACAGUCGGGGGCAUCAGUAUUCAAUUGUCAGAGGUGAAAUUCUUGGAUUUAUUGAAGACUAACUACUGCGAAAGCAUUUGCCAAGGAUGUUUUCAUUAAUCAGGAACGAAAGUUAGGGGAUCGAAGACGAUCAGAUACCGUCGUAGUCUUAACCAUAAACUAUGCCGACUAGGGAUCGGACGAUGUUAUUUUUUGACGCGUUCGGCACCUUACGAGAAAUCAAAGUGCUUGGGCUCCAGGGGGAGUAUGGUCGCAAGGCUGAAACUUAAAGGAAUUG